This 492-nucleotide ribosomal RNA is filed under the name uncultured bacterium. RNAcentral describes it as "partial 16S ribosomal RNA". It matches the Rfam family "Bacterial small subunit ribosomal RNA", at positions 29 to 507 of the family's 1533-position model. The record is from RNAcentral.
AGUGAACGCUGGCGGUAGGCCUAACACAUGCAAGUCGAACGGCAGCACAGUAAGAGCUUGCUCUUACGGGUGGCGAGUGGCGGACGGGUGAGGAAUACAUCGGAAUCUACUUUUUCGUGGGGGAUAACGUAGGGAAACUUACGCUAAUACCGCAUACGACCUACGGGUGAAAGCAGGGGAUCUUCGGACCUUGCGCGAUUGAAUGAGCCGAUGUCGGAUUAGCUAGUUGGCGGGGUAAAGGCCCACCAAGGCGACGAUCCGUAGCUGGUCGGAGAGGAUGAUCAGCCACACUGGAACUGAGACACGGUCCAGGCGCCUACGGGAGGCAGCAGUGGGGUAUAUGGGACAAUGGGCGCAAGCCUUAUCCAGCCAUACCGCGUGGGUGAAGGAGGCCUUCGGGUUGUAAAGCCCUUUUGUUGGGAAAGAAAAGCAGCAGGUUAAUACCCCGCUGUUCUGACGGUACCCAAAGAAUAAGCACCGGCUAACUUCGUG